GAUGAACGCUGGCGGCGUGCCUAAUACAUGCAAGUCGAGCGAACAGAUGAGGAGCUUGCUCCUCUGACGUUAGCGGCGGACGGGUGAGUAACACGUGGAUAACCUACCUAUAAGACUGGGAUAACUUCGGGAAACCGGAGCUAAUACCGGAUAAUAUAUUGAACCGCAUGGUUCAAUAGUGAAAGACGGUUUUGCUGUCACUUAUAGAUGGAUCCGCGCCGCAUUAGCUAGUUGGUAAGGUAACGGCUUACCAAGGCAACGAUGCGUAGCCGACCUGAGAGGGUGAUCGGCCACACUGGAACUGAGACACGGUCCAGACUCCUACGGGAGGCAGCAGUAGGGAAUCUUCCGCAAUGGGCGAAAGCCUGACGGAGCAACGCCGCGUGAGUGAUGAAGGUCUUCGGAUCGUAAAACUCUGUUAUUAGGGAAGAACAAAUGUUUAAGUAACUAUGCACGUCUUGACGGUACCUAAUCAGAAAGCCACGGCUAACUACGUG
RNAcentral lists this ribosomal RNA (497 nucleotides) under uncultured bacterium. RNAcentral describes it as "partial 16S ribosomal RNA". It matches the Rfam family "Bacterial small subunit ribosomal RNA", at positions 28 to 507 of the family's 1533-position model. The record is from RNAcentral.